This 667-nucleotide ribosomal RNA is filed under the name Pristionchus pacificus. RNAcentral describes it as "partial large subunit ribosomal RNA". It matches the Rfam family "Eukaryotic large subunit ribosomal RNA", at positions 386 to 945 of the family's 3401-position model. The record is from RNAcentral. Lineage: Eukaryota; Metazoa; Nematoda; Chromadorea; Rhabditida; Neodiplogasteridae.
GAGAUGUGAACCACGUGGGGCUAAGCGGAUAGAGUUGACGAAACUGGCAGUGUUCAGUGCUCGUGAUCGGGUUCGCUCGUGAUCGGGUGCGCAUUCAUUGUCGGUACGUGCUGGGACGUUCGGUGAGCCCUUCUGAAGGCUUCAGAGUCACCCAAGCUUGCUUGGUAGUGUUCUGUCGUCAGAAGUUGAUGUGCUCGCUGAUCGUAGCGGUGGCCGUGCCUCUGCGCGUUCGUUCGUUAGUUGGUGUGCUGCUUGGUAGUCGGACAUGUCUGGCUGCCUCGUACGUGUGCUGAUUAGCGGGCGCUCGCCUAUCGCCCACUCCCGGUAUGCGAAAGUCGACCACCUAUCCACCCGUCUUGAAACACGGACCAUGUCCUCUAGUAUGUACGCGAGUCAUUGGGUAUUAAACCUAUAGGCGCACUAAAUGUGAAGGGCGGCUUGUUCGUCUGAUAUUUGAUCCAUCGGUCUCGGCCAGCGGCGCAGGGUGACCCAUGCCUACUGCUUGGGCUGGUGUGGAGAUGGAGCGUACACCCUAGGACCCGGCGCAUCGUAAACUAUGCCAGACCAAGACCAAGUCCUAGGAAACUCUGAUGGAUUCCUCUCGGUUCUGACCUGCAAAUCGAUCGUCUUACUCUGGUAUCUGGGCUAAAAACUAAUCGACCUUUAU